GUGCUUUUAGAUCAGAAAAACUGAUCUUAUUUGAGAACUGUUUUUAUGUUGUUCUUGUGCUACGUGUGCUAUUUUCAUUGGACGUUAUUUUGUGUUCGGGGGAGAGAUUUCUCUCGUUUCAGCUUCUUCGGUAUUGUCGACCUAGAUUUUUUUUUGUUCUCUCCCAACGGCGAAACGGCGAUUUCAUUUUCUUCCCGUCGAGCUAGGGUUUGUUUUUGUUUCUUCUUCUGUUCGAAAUCGCAUCUAGGUUUUCUUGUUUCUCUCAUUCUGUUCUUAUUUUUUACUUCGAUUGUUGAUUUUGGCGAAUUGGGUUUCUCUGGAUUGAUUUUGGGCGAUGUUGAUGUCGAUUUUGUUGGUUUAAUUCAGUUAAUUUUCGCUAUUGACUAAUCGAUCGUGCGUAUGGAUUACUAUUUCCACUGGGUGAACCGAUUGAGCAGGUGGUUGUUCUGAUCGAACAAAGUGAAAAGCUGGGGAAUACAUUGCUGAACAAGAGAGGGCUAGAUAUUCGUGUUGAACAAGAGAGGGCUAGAUAUUCGUGUUGCAGCUCUUGUAAGUCCUUUACAAGUCCUUGGGAACAAGAAGCUAUAGCGACGAAAGUAUCUUCAGGACAAGGGAUUGUCAAGUUACCCAUGGGAUGAUCAUACACCGGAACUCUUAUUUGGCCUUACUCAACAGAGCUUCGAAUGAUGGCUUGUUCAAGAAUGAAACCCGCUCCAUAUAUCUCUUCUUCUUGCUCUCCCCUAGAAUUUCUUUUGGUGUCAAAGCUGCUUUUGUUUGUUGGAAUAUUCUUUGCAGCCAAAAGACGUCGCAUCAGUGUCAUUUCUCUCUCAAAGUUUCUGCAGAUGGAUCAGGGAAAUUACUGUCCUAGUUCUAAAUUGUUGAUUAUGAUUUGGUUUUGUUUUGAGAUGAGAAACUAAGUUUUCUCUCUCUGUAUAUAUAUAAUGGUGGGACAUUGAAGUAGCACAGGGAGACUUUGAAGUUGUUGAACAUGACGAAUCAAGAACUCACUGUCACAUUCACUUUGAAGUUUGAAGUGGUAGAAACUGCAGGGGAAGCUCUAUUUGAAUGGGAGGGUCUUGGUCUGCCAAAUUCACAAACGAUCAAGUCAAUAGAGGCAAAACCAUGUGCUAAUAGGUGAGUGUUAUGGACACACCUUGCAAAAGAGCGGACGUAGUGCUCAUUAAAACAGGGUGAAUGUCAUACGAGAAGAAAUGUGCUGCAAUGUUUUUCUUGUUUCAUAAAUGUUAAUUUUUAAAGUUUUUAACAAUCCAAUAGAUGUACACUUAUCAUUGAACUUAUACUUAAGCCAUAAAUGGCAGAAAGUUUGUAAUAAAUUUGAACCUUGAACUUAGUAAUACCUUUGAAGCAAA
Camelina sativa (false flax) is the source of this 1370-nucleotide long non-coding RNA. RefSeq lists it as uncharacterized. Lineage: Eukaryota; Viridiplantae; Streptophyta; Magnoliopsida; Brassicales; Brassicaceae. The record is from RefSeq and is a predicted model, not a curated record.